This 497-nucleotide ribosomal RNA is filed under the name Staphylococcus warneri. Its description in RNAcentral is "bacterial SSU rRNA". It matches the Rfam family "Bacterial small subunit ribosomal RNA", at positions 48 to 526 of the family's 1533-position model. The record is from RNAcentral. Lineage: Bacteria; Bacillati; Bacillota; Bacilli; Caryophanales; Staphylococcaceae.
GCUAUACAUGCAAGUCGAGCGAACAGAUAAGGAGCUUGCUCCUUUGACGUUAGCGGCGGACGGGUGAGUAACACGUGGAUAACCUACCUAUAAGACUGGGAUAACUUCGGGAAACCGGAGCUAAUACCGGAUAACAUAUUGAACCGCAUGGUUCAAUAGUGAAAGGCGGCUUUGCUGUCACUUAUAGAUGGAUCCGCGCCGUAUUAGCUAGUUGGUAAGGUAACGGCUUACCAAGGCAACGAUACGUAGCCGACCUGAGAGGGUGAUCGGCCACACUGGAACUGAGACACGGUCCAGACUCCUACGGGAGGCAGCAGUAGGGAAUCUUCCGCAAUGGGCGAAAGCCUGACGGAGCAACGCCGCGUGAGUGAUGAAGGUCUUCGGAUCGUAAAACUCUGUUAUCAGGGAAGAACAAAUGUGUAAGUAACUGUGCACAUCUUGACGGUACCUGAUCAGAAAGCCACGGCUAACUACGUGCCAGCAGCGGCCGGUAAUAA